This 2021-nucleotide long non-coding RNA is filed under the name Homo sapiens (human). Its description in RNAcentral is "cancer/testis associated transcript 66 (CT66)". Lineage: Eukaryota; Metazoa; Chordata; Mammalia; Primates; Hominidae. The record is from RNAcentral.
GUGCGUGGACGAGCGACCCCGCGCCCGGAUGACCCCUGGGAUUCCCGCCUCGUCUUCCAGCGGGGGACCUAGGGACGCACGGGCGGCUUCAGAUCCGGGAGCGCGAGGCCUAACAGCCGGGGGCCGAACUUGAACCUCGGAGGCGGCCGCGGGCGAGGGGCGGGGCCGAAGGGGCCGGGACCGCCGCCCCAGCUCGAGGACCCGUUAGACCGGCAAACCGCAGUCCCUGCCCCGCGGGCUUCCUUUACUUUUUGGGAGUGGGGGGCGGUUUCCCUGCUUUUUCCACCACAGCCCCUCCUCCCGCCGCAAUGUGGCUGAUGCUCAUAAAAAGUUGUAUUAAAGAGCUGACUGCAGCCGAGAAUCGAUCAACAAAAGCGACCAGCCUCUCUGGGUCUAUCCACGGCCUUCUCAACAGAUGACUUCAAGUUGAUUUCGUGCUUUAUUUCUUAAGAAUAGUGACUAACCUAAGGGAUCUGAUUCAAUUUAUUAGGAACACAGUGCCACCUUCCAAAAUUACUUACCUAAGAGGACUGAGCCUGCUGUCCCUGGAGCAGUUAGCUAAAACAGUGCCUCAGUACGGAGCGUACCUGUGUUAACUUCUAGAGUGCUGUUUCCGGCAGCUGCUGAAAUCCACGCUGAGGUUAUCAAGCUCAUCCUACAAAAUAAAGCAAGUUCUUCGCAAUUUAAAGCAAAAAUCUGGGCUUAUUUUUAGGGUUUUGGGGGAUGUGAAAGUUGUCUUAGAUAAGAUUCCAGGAAAGCUAAGAACUAACGAUGCAAUUACAGUCACCUUUCAACAACUUUGGGGAUUGGGUUGAGGAAGGUGUGAAAUUGGGAAAUAUAAUAAAAGGUAUUAUAUUAGUGACUUUCUAGAGUAGCCCUUGGCAGUCCUGUCUUUAAAGAGUAAUAACUGGAAAAAAAAAUGAAUGAUAAUACACUGCAUCCAAGAACCUUGCCUCUGGUGAGGGUAAUUUGCAAACGCAUUUUGGGAUAAUGUUCAGCAUUCAAUAUAAUCUUCCCUGGAAUUAGCAAUGCCUUUUGGGUCAGAGUUUCUUAGGUUUCUUCAGUCAUACAAUUAAAAUUGUUUCUGGAUUAUAUUGCCCAUAUUUGUUUCUAAUUCUCCAUUUUGCCUGUGUUUUAACUGCUAGCGAUUAAUAACUGCCAUAUAAUAAGCUAAGCAUUUAUUAUGUUUCAGGCACUGUUCUAACUGCAUUAAAAUAAUAUCUCAUUUAAUUCUCAUAAAUUUUGAGAAAAGUUUUAUUAUUCCUAUUUUACAGUUGAGUAAACUGAGGCUUAAAGUUAAGCAUAUUGUCCAAGGUGCCUCCACUCCUUAGUCAUAAGCUAAAUUUGAUCUGAGUGACUCCAAAACCUGUUCUCUUAAUGGUUAUGCUGAAAUGCCCUUCUUAGAAUGAUUCCUCAGGAAGUCAAAUGCUAGGUAUAUAGUACAACCACUUUGGAAAACUGGCAAUAUCUGUUAAAGUUAAACAUAUGAAAACCCUAUGGCCCAGCAGUUCCACGCUUAGGAAUAUACCAAUGUCCCAUGUGUGCCAAAAGACUAUUAAAUCACUCAGAGCAACCCUAUUCAUAAAUAACCCCCAACCAGGAAACAACCCAAAUGGUCAUAAACAGUAAAAUAGAUAAAUAAUUGGUGGUAUAUUCAUACAACAGAGUACAUUCUACCACACUAAGAAUGAACAAUCUGCUUCCAAAUGCAGUAAAAUAUAUGAACCUUACAAAUGUGCUAAGUGAAAAAAGGGAGAUGUACAAUUGCGGGACUCCAUUUAUGUGAAGUACAGAAACAGACAAAAGUCAUUGAUGCUAUUCAAAGUCAGGAUAGUGGUUACCCUUGAGAGAGAGCUGAUGACUAGGAGAGAACACCAAUCGGCUUCUGGGGAGCUGGUAGUGUUGUUUCUUGAGCUGGGUACUGGUGUGUUCAGUUUGUGAAAAUUCAUUGAGCUGUACUAUUGAUAUAUGCAUCUCUGUGUAUGUAAAUUAUGCUUCAAUAAAAAGCUUUAAAAUGCUGU